RNAcentral lists this ribosomal RNA (346 nucleotides) under uncultured bacterium. RNAcentral describes it as "bacterial SSU rRNA". It matches the Rfam family "Bacterial small subunit ribosomal RNA", at positions 1 to 334 of the family's 1533-position model. The record is from RNAcentral.
CUAGCGACUUCAGAGUUUGAUCCUGGCUCAGGAUGAACGCUAGCGAUAGGCUUAACACAUGCAAGUCGAGGGGCAGCAUGAACAAAGCUUGCUUUGUUUGAUGGCGACCGGCGCACGGGUGCGUAACACGUAUGCAACUUACCCAUAAAACAGGGAUAACCCGGAGAAAUUCGGACUAAUACUUGAUGGUAUUGAGAGAAGGCAUCUUCACUUAAUUAAAGAUUUAUCGAUUAUGGAUAGGCAUGCGCAUGAUUAGCUAGUUGGUGAGGUAACGGCUCACCAAGGCGACGAUCAUUAGGGGUUCUGAGAGGAAGGUCCCCCACACUGGUACUGAGACACGGACCAG